CCAAUCAAUUACUAUAAUAGGCAAAUAGAACUGAUUAAAGGUAAUGAGGAUCAGGUAUUUCCACAAGAUACUGAUAAAAAUCACAUAUACUGAAAUGACAAAGUCAUUAGCAAAAGAUAUAAUAAAGGAAUAUGUGUGUACCAAAAAGAGUGCAUUAUAUUUCCAUAGUGAAAUAGACUUCCCACUGUUCCAAAGGGCAUUCCUAAAAAUAAUCAGUCCCAAUCACUUGAUGUGAAAAUGUGAAAAUUGAAAUCACUACCAGUAAAAACGGAGUUUCUGAUGAAGAACGAUCAUAAAACGAUCAAUGACAAAUUAAGAAUUAUUUCAAGCGAGGAUAACAUAGAGAACAAGCUCACAAAAUUCGAGUUAAUUCUAUACACUUAUAAUCAUAAAUCGGUUCAUAAUACUACAAAAAGAUCCCCAGCUGAUAUCUUCCUGUACGCCGGACUAUCAGAUUAUAACACCCAACUGAAUAAGGUUAGGAAGAUCAAUCAUUUAAAUAACGAUAGAAUCGACUUUGAAGUAGACACACGCUACAAAAAUGCACCCCUAGUUAAAAAAUAACAACCAAUCCGAUCAAAAGAAUAGGGGAAAUUCGGCAGAGUACCCGAAGAGAGUACUGGGAAUCUGGAGCUACAACAUGAUUAAGAUUAUAAUCUUACCUAUGUUCACCGUCCUACAGUCUACCGGAAAGAAUAUAGAGAUAGAUCCCAUCAACUCAAGGAAUGGAUAUCUCAUAUUCAAAACAGAUACCAUUAACAUACCCAUUAAUUAUGAAUAUCAUUAUUUAACAAUUAAUAUAACAAGAACAGAUGAAACAUA
This is a long non-coding RNA of Drosophila pseudoobscura, 822 nucleotides long. RefSeq lists it as uncharacterized. The transcript is spliced from 2 exons. NCBI's taxonomy places the organism in Eukaryota, Metazoa, Arthropoda, Insecta, Diptera, Drosophilidae. The record is from RefSeq and is a predicted model, not a curated record.